This 229-nucleotide long non-coding RNA is filed under the name Manacus vitellinus (golden-collared manakin). RNAcentral describes it as "lncRNA (ENSMVIG00005015560.1)". The record is from RNAcentral. Lineage: Eukaryota; Metazoa; Chordata; Aves; Passeriformes; Pipridae.
AGUGAGAGGAACAGACAUACUUUUUGUUUGUAUGCAAAAAGAGAUUAAUCUAUUCAGGUGUUACUGAAAUAGGGAACACUGCUGCUUGAAAGAUUUCCCCUGGGAUUCAUGGGAGCUGCCUGUAUCCUGAAGCUGGAGGAGGGGGCCUGCUAAUACGUUCUGUACCUGGUCACGGAGCCCUGCUGCCUUGGAGAGGUGACGUAAGACCCUUGCCCCUUGCCUGAAGAGA